Molecule: long non-coding RNA, 331 nt
Organism: Phascolarctos cinereus (koala)
Lineage: Eukaryota; Metazoa; Chordata; Mammalia; Diprotodontia; Phascolarctidae
Source: RefSeq, a predicted model, not a curated record
CUUUGCUUUCUGAUGUCUGGCCCCUGCCAUGCCCUGGCUCCCCUUGUGGAUCAGGACCAGUUCCGGGGGGAUGACCUUGGAGACAUCAUUCGAAGACCAGAGAGCAAUGGGGUGGUGUUCCAUCCACCACGCCACCUGGCUACCCUGGGUUGACUACUACAAUAUCACAAUGAGGGCAUCAGAGAAAUGGAGACCAAAGACUACGAGACAUCAGAUGGGGAAAUUUUCCUGAAGGAGGUGUCAUCCGAGUUGGCCUUAAAGGAUUGGUGGGAAUUCAACAUACAAAAGGCAUUCAAUGUUUUAAAACCUGAAACAAGCCUGGCUGAUCGAA